This 1448-nucleotide ribosomal RNA is filed under the name uncultured organism. RNAcentral describes it as "16S ribosomal RNA". It matches the Rfam family "Bacterial small subunit ribosomal RNA". The record is from RNAcentral.
CUGGCGGCGUGCCUAAUACAUGCAAGUAGAACGCUGAAGAGAGGAGCUUGCUCUUCUUGGAUGAGUUGCGAACGGGUGAGUAACGCGUAGGUAACCUGCCUUGUAGCGGGGGAUAACUAUUGGAAACGAUAGCUAAUACCGCAUAACAAUGGAUGACACAUGUCAUUUAUUUGAAAGGGGCAAAUGCUCCACUACAAGAUGGACCUGCGUUGUAUUAGCUAGUAGGUGAGGUAACGGCUCACCUAGGCGACGAUACAUAGCCGACCUGAGAGGGUGAUCGGCCACACUGGGACUGAGACACGGCCCAGACUCCUACGGGAGGCAGCAGUAGGGAAUCUUCGGCAAUGGGGGCAACCCUGACCGAGCAACGCCGCGUGAGUGAAGAAGGUUUUCGGAUCGUAAAGCUCUGUUGUAAGUCAAGAACGAGUGUGAGAGUGGAAAGUUCACACUGUGACGGUAGCUUACCAGAAAGGGACGGCUAACUACGUGCCAGCAGCCGCGGUAAUACGUAGGUCCCGAGCGUUGUCCGGAUUUAUUGGGCGUAAAGCGAGCGCAGGCGGUUUGAUAAGUCUGAAGUUAAAGGCUGUGGCUCAACCAUAGUUCGCUUUGGAAACUGUCAAACUUGAGUGCAGAAGGGGAGAGUGGAAUUCCAUGUGUAGCGGUGAAAUGCGUAGAUAUAUGGAGGAACACCGGUGGCGAAAGCGGCUCUCUGGUCUGUAACUGACGCUGAGGCUCGAAAGCGUGGGGAGCGAACAGGAUUAGAUACCCUGGUAGUCCACGCCGUAAACGAUGAGUGCUAGGUGUUGGAUCCUUUCCGGGAUUCAGUGCCGCAGCUAACGCAUUAAGCACUCCGCCUGGGGAGUACGACCGCAAGGUUGAAACUCAAAGGAAUUGACGGGGGCCCGCACAAGCGGUGGAGCAUGUGGUUUAAUUCGAAGCAACGCGAAGAACCUUACCAGGUCUUGACAUCCCGAUGCUAUUUCUAGAGAUAGAAAGUUACUUCGGUACAUCGGUGACAGGUGGUGCAUGGUUGUCGUCAGCUCGUGUCGUGAGAUGUUGGGUUAAGUCCCGCAACGAGCGCAACCCCUAUUGUUAGUUGCCAUCAUUCAGUUGGGCACUCUAGCGAGACUGCCGGUAAUAAACCGGAGGAAGGUGGGGAUGACGUCAAAUCAUCAUGCCCCUUAUGACCUGGGCUACACACGUGCUACAAUGGUUGGUACAACGAGUUGCGAGUCGGUGACGGCAAGCUAAUCUCUUAAAGCCAAUCUCAGUUCGGAUUGUAGGCUGCAACUCGCCUACAUGAAGUCGGAAUCGCUAGUAAUCGCGGAUCAGCACGCCGCGGUGAAUACGUUCCCGGGCCUUGUACACACCGCCCGUCACACCACGAGAGUUUGUAACACCCGAAGUCGGUGAGGUAACCUUUUGGAGCCAGCCGCCUAAGGUGGGAU